Molecule: ribosomal RNA, 301 nt
Filed under: uncultured bacterium
Lineage: Bacteria
Description: partial 16S ribosomal RNA
Rfam family: Bacterial small subunit ribosomal RNA
Source: RNAcentral
CAGCCGCCGCGGGAAUACAGAGGGUGCGAGCGUUAAUCGGAUUUACUGGGCGUAAAGCGUGCGUAGGCGGCUUUUUAAGUCGGAUGUGAAAUCACUGAGCUUAACUUAGGAAUUGCAUUCGAUACUGGGAAGCUAGAGUAUGGGAGAGGAUGGUAGAAUUCCAGGUGUAGCGGUGAAAUGCGUAGAGAUCUGGAGGAAUACCGAUGGCGAAGGCAGCCAUCUGGCCUAAUACUGACGCUGAGGUACGAAAGCAUGGGGAGCAAACAGGAUUAGAUACCCCCGUAGUCCCUGUCUCUUAUAC